AGCAAUCAGGGUCUGGAGGCUGCUUCAGGAUCACAGAGUGGACCACGAGGCGCUGGUGAUGCUCCCAGGGCUGGACUGACGCCGGGGUGACCACAGGAGGAGCUGGGAUCAAAGUCGCGCUGAACGACUUCCCAAACAUGCUUGGCUUCUUCAUCGGAAUGUAAACAGGGAGCAAGAUGACAAGACCGAAGAGGAAAACUAUUCUGCCUGGUGGGACUAAAAUCCCUGCUGCUCACCCAGGGGUACAGGGAAUUAUCCACCCUGGUAACUCACUUAAAACAAAGAUUAGAUUAAACUAUGAACAGAGCCAGAAAAGCAUUUUGAAUCGCAAUUAGGAUAGAUUUUGUGCAGGAAAGGCGAUGACUAGAGAUGCAGUGUUUGAGCUUUGGAUAUGGGGAAUGCAUGAUCUUCUCUGGAAGCCAGAAAUUGAUUUCCAGCUCCUCGUCCAGCAGAGGUCCCGACAAAAGCAAUCGGUUUAUUGGCAGGAACCAGCCAUCAGUUGGGCAGGUCCUUAUGUAAGCGUGCUUGAGAGCCCUUGCGCCCCACUGCACCCGAACAGGGAGCGGUCAAUAGCCACUAAUUAACAUCACAACCAGACCCUGUCCCAGGGCCUCCCGCUGCAGCCCC
Ficedula albicollis (Collared flycatcher) is the source of this 627-nucleotide long non-coding RNA. RefSeq lists it as uncharacterized. The transcript has 3 exons. The record is from RefSeq and is a predicted model, not a curated record. NCBI's taxonomy places the organism in Eukaryota, Metazoa, Chordata, Aves, Passeriformes, Muscicapidae.